Non-coding RNA from Propionibacterium acidifaciens F0233, 368 nucleotides. The record is from Rfam. Lineage: Bacteria; Bacillati; Actinomycetota; Actinomycetes; Propionibacteriales; Propionibacteriaceae.
GGGGGUGAUCGGUUUCGACUGGAGUGGUAGCUCCAGGAGAAGCGGGCCGAGAAUCCAGAGUCGUCUCGUUAAUGUCCUCUGGGAACCAACAAGUGCCGAUACCAAUCGCACUGACUUCGCUCUCGCUGCCUGAUCAGUGACCGAAGGGUCAGCCCGGACGUAGCCUUCCGUCCGGUUCCUGGCCUCAUUCAGAAGGCUUGCUCAGUGGUCCGUGUCCGGGGGAUCGCUGGGGACUCCUCCCGGACUGGGCUUGGCCGCAACUCGUCGACGUGAGUGCGGGGGCCGAGCAGACCGUCAAGUCGACUGCGCCCGGAGAAGACCUGGUCCGCCUCGUCAGGACGCGGGUUCGAUUCCCGCCACCUCCACGA